GACGAACGCUGGCGGCGUGCUUAACACAUGCAAGUCGAACGGAAAGGCCCUGCUUUUGUGGGGUGCUCGAGUGGCGAACGGGUGAGUAACACGUGAGUAACCUGCCCUUGACUUUGGGAUAACUUCAGGAAACUGGGGCUAAUACCGGAUAGGAGCUCCUGCUGCAUGGUGGGGGUUGGAAAGUUUCGGCGGUUGGGGAUGGACUCGCGGCUUAUCAGCUUGUUGGUGGGGUAGUGGCUUACCAAGGCUUUGACGGGUAGCCGGCCUGAGAGGGUGACCGGCCACAUUGGGACUGAGAUACGGCCCAGACUCCUACGGGAGACAGCAGUGGGGAAUAUUGCACAAUGAGCGGAAGCCUGAUGCAGCAACGCCGCGUGCGGGAUGACGGCCUUCGGGUUGUAAACCGCUUUCGCCUGUGACGAAGCGUGAGUGACGGUAAUGGGUAAAGAAGCACCGGCUAACUACGUG
RNAcentral lists this ribosomal RNA (468 nucleotides) under uncultured bacterium. RNAcentral's name for it is "partial 16S ribosomal RNA". It matches the Rfam family "Bacterial small subunit ribosomal RNA", at positions 28 to 507 of the family's 1533-position model. The record is from RNAcentral.